GCUUGAUAUUGUAUGACAGACAGGGUAGGAGACAAUGUGUGACAGGUGUGUGGCAGAAAAUGUAACUAGAAAACAGUAUCUUAGAAACAAUGUAAAUGGCAGACAGCACAUGACAGAAAUGUGAUGUGCUCUGUGCAAGGGGGUCUAUCAGAGACAUGGUGUAGAACGGAGCUGAGGCCGAGUGGGCAAUCCAUGCGGAGAAUUGUACUACAAAGACUAGACAUGCAUAUGAAAGACAACGUCUGUGACGGAGGCAGGUAGGUGAGAGUAGGACGGGAGGGCAGAGACUUCUAUGAGGACUGGGAGAGAGCCACGAGUGACAAGAGGCAGUAUAGGACAGACGUGGGGGGUGGGGAGGGACAGUGUAUACAUAGAUCCGUAAGUGACAGAGACAGUAUGUCCAGCCUGGGGACAGUGAAUAAAUAGAAUAAGAGACAGGAUAUGAAGACUGCAGGAGAGUAUAUAGAUACAGGUGACAGAGACAGUACAGAACAGACGGCGGGGCAGUGUAUAGAUCCAUAAGUGACUGAGGCUGGGGACAGUGUGAAAGACAAUGUAUGGAAAAAUAUUCUAGAUAAAAAACAAACAAACGAAUGAAUAAAUAAAUAAAAGACAAUGUGACAGACGGCGUAUGACAGACUGGGGAACAGCGUAUGAAAGACGUGGGUAACAACGCGACGGAGAAAGUUGAGGCGGCUGAGAAGGAAGCCGCGGACCUUUACCUCGCGUCUCUCCAGGUUUGAGCGCGCACCCGAGCCCGAAGCUGUGGACGCGCCCUUGUCGUCGCUGUCUGAGGCCUCUGAGUCCGAAGCUGUGUCAGAAGAGGCAGGGGCUCCGGGGCAGGCCCGGACUGGUGGCUUCACUAUUACCACUCGCCGCUGCUCUUCCUGCUCCUGUUCCUCCUGCUCCUGUGUGCCCUCGAUGUGCUGAAUUGCCUAAGAGGAGGAAGAUGGUUGGACAGCAAAUAUGGAAAGAAUUAUGAAGGCUCAGGCACUAAGAGACAACUCAACAAUGGGUUACAUGGCAGCAAAGAAACACUUGGAGAUAAACCCUGACCAUUCCAUUAUUGAAACUCUAAGGCCAAAGGCAGAGGCUGACAAGAAUGAUAAAUCAGUGAAGGAUCUGGUCAUCUUGUAUGAGAAUGCACUGCUGUCUUCUGGGUUCAGCUUGGAAGAUCCCCAGACACAUGCCAAUCGGAUCUACAGGAUGAUCAAACUUGGUCUUGGAAUUGAUGAAGAUGAUUCAACAACUGAAGAAACCAAUGCAGCUAUAACUGAGGAAAUGCCACCCCUUGAAGAUGAUGACACAUCGCGUAUGGAAGAAGUAGACUAAAGCAUUCCAAUUCAAGGAGCAAAAGCAUGUUUCCUAGACUAGUCUGAAUAAGUUAUUUUGUAUAAGGUGUUGAGAGAAAAUACUUGAUGUCUUCAUUCCCUCUGAUGUAUAUUUUCAGAUAUGUUCUCUUUAUUUUUGUUAAAUCACUUUUUAAAAAAAUGUAUGGCAUGAACAUGCGUUUAAGGGGAAGUUUAGGUUUCUUUUAAUCUUUUUUUUUAAUUUU
Non-coding RNA from Monodelphis domestica (gray short-tailed opossum), 1555 nucleotides. Lineage: Eukaryota; Metazoa; Chordata; Mammalia; Didelphimorphia; Didelphidae. The record is from RefSeq and is a predicted model, not a curated record.